UGUCUUUCUGUUGUUUUUUUGUUUGCUUUCCUUGCAGUGCAAAAGGCUAAAGUUAGUGAAAUACACUAAGUAAGCAGUUUCGUUCAUUGUUAUAAAAUUACCUGUAUUGUUGUUUGCAACAUGCUUUCUAUAUUUGACACAAAAUCUGUAGGGAAAAGAGACGUGUAAUUGGCUUGGAAGAAACUGAAGCAAUGAAAUUCCGGCUAGUAGGACUGCAUUUUUGCGUGUUUACUCAAUGUCAAAGCCACGCUAUUGUGUAUUGAUAGAAGCAAAUUUAACAUGAAAGCAAAAGACUUUUUUUCCUAUAUCAAAGGUGGUAUUGUUUAGCAGUUUUGCCAUUAGCAUGUUUCUGAGUCUCCAUCUUUGGCAGAUGCAAUGAUGACAUGAAGAAUCCUAGUGUUGUUCAGAUAAGUGAACUUCAUUGUAUUUAGUUGAAACUAAUAGCUAUAAUGUGUGUUUGUAUGUUUCUGAAUAUUUUAUUCAUUGACAGACGUGACGAAUGUCGGAAGAAAAUAGAAUAUGUAAGAAAUCAGUUCUUAUUCCCGCGUUUCCUGUCGGUUGUUAACAUCUCAAGAUUUUUGUUGUGUUUAGCUGUGCAACUGAUUUAAUGCUGAGUGUUUUUUUCCUUUCUAUAUUUGUCACAGAAUCUGUAGGUAAAAAAGAUGGAAGCAAUGAAAUUCCUGCUUGUAGAACCGCAGUUUUGCGUAUUCACUCAAUUUCAAAGCCACUUUAAUAUGUAUUGAUUGAAGCAAAAGACACUUUUUUCUUAAGGAAAAUUGGUAUUGUUUAACAGUUUUACCAUUAGCAUGUUUCUCAGUUUCCAUCUUUGGCAGAUACAAUGAUGCCAUAAAGUAUCCUAGAUAAUGUAAUUAAGAUAAGAGAACUUCAUUGCAUUUAGCUGAAACUAAUAGCUAUAAUGUGUGUGUGUUUCUGAGUAUUUUAUUCAUUGACAGAUGUGAUGAAUGUUGGAAGAAAAUGAAAUAUGUAAGGAAUUAUUACUUUUCCCCUCGUUUCUUGUCUGAUGUUAACAUCUCAAUAUUUUUCUUGUGUUUGCCUGUGCAAAUGAUUUAACGCUGUUUUUUCCCCUUCAGCUUUGUCAUUUUUGAGUUUUGAUAUGAAGCGAGUAAGAAUGUUUUCCUGUCAUAACUAAUGGAAUUAAUAAUUGCAGUUCCGUUUGGCUACUAUUAAAUGUUUACAUGCAACGUAGGGAAACUAAAACGAAAAUGGUUUAGUAGCUUUUUGUGUAAUGUUAAUUGUAGUAUUUUGGAAAAUGUGCUUUGUUUGUUUCUCACGUGAUAUUUAGAUGAUGAAAUUGGAAAUUGUCUUGAUGCAUGUUGCAGAUUGAAGAUAGCAGCAAUGCAAUUUAUUUGGUAGAUUAUUGUUUUCGCAUAUUAAGGUAAAGAAAACAUCAGUUGACAGAAUGAAAAGCCUUCCAGGAAAAGUAUGACUGCCUGUAAAAUUAAAGAAAAGCUUGUUUGUUUUCAGUUAAUGUCCAUUUCCUUUUCACCUGUGUAUUGUACAUAUGGAAAUAUAACUAUUUUAAAGAUAGUUUUAAAUUUGACAUCUACAGGUUUUGUAUGUUCCAAGUUGCCUGUGUGAUGUUUUCAUCUCCUUUUUUUGUCCCUCGUAGUAUUUAUUUUUGCUUUGAGAUGAAGAUAGAUUUCUUUAUGAAAUUUUACUGUUUGUGCCAUGCCUGUUAUUGGUAAUAUUUUACGUUGCCUAUUCUGCCUUGGUUGCAUAAAUACUCUGUUCACAGAAAAAACCUGAAGGAAAUGUAUGAAGAUGUUGAAGACUGUUAAUAUUGUCAUGCAGUUACAUUCAAUGAAUUAGUGAUUGGAAACUGUAAUUCUGUUGGUAAGUCUGGGUUGUAUGCAUUCAGUGUAUGUGAAUCUCUCUACUCUUGAAGCACUUUUUCCUUUCUCCACUUUUAAUGUUAAAUAUUUCAAGCAAAAUCUAGUUUAAUGUUGUGGAAUAUCAAAUGUUUGAUCUCAUUAGAAAAAAAAAUUCGAAAGAAAAUGCUGUUGUGGAUACACAAGUUUUGAAAUUGGGGCUUUUGGUUUUGUUAAAAUAUUUAGAAAUGAUUUUCUUAUGAGGCUUCCUCAUUAAAGUUGCAAGAGGUUUGAGUUUGCAUUAUCUUCUGUUGUCUAGGAUGAAUGUAACAAAUAUGUGCAGCAAUAAAAUAACCAAAGAAAUCAAGCUUUGAAAAGAGCCCUCAAUAAAUUAUGUCUCUGAAAGAAAAAAGAAAUCUUUACAAGAAAGGAAAGAUGUUUUGAGAGUAAGAGUUCCUUUGUUGUUAACCAAACUGUUUAUAUCUUUUAGGUAUAUUAAAUACUUUGUACACAUUUUCUCUUUUCUGAUUAAUUUCUUUUUAUAAGAUUUUAUAUGCAUAUAGUAAUGUAUGUGUGAAAACACCACCACGUGGAUAAGUUUUGUGGAGGCGUGUGAUAUGAUUUGGGUGUUGGUUUGUGUGUUCAAUUCUUUGAUUAUGUGAUGUGUUGUCUUCAAGCAACACUUCACGGAUUGACACAUUUCAUGCUACCUUAGUCCACUCAGCUGAACAUGAGGACCAGCAAAUAGCAGAUAUGCCUCUGUUUAGUGGGUAUAGUUUGUUACUCAUCUGCAGAUUAAUUUUAUGUAUUAAAAAUUAUAUUUACUACUUAAUGUCAACUUGCGAAUACUGAUGAUUAGCAAGGAAAUACAUAUUUCCUGUUUGAUUUUACUAAUAUUUUUGAAAGUAUUUAAAAAAUAUUUAUUUUCUAUUUGUAACAACUCCUUUUUCUAGGUAUACUGUUACAGGUUGAACAAUUGUUUAAAAGUUGCCCUGUACUGAAGUGAUCAAUUACUUGACGUUAAUUAUGAUUUUGCAGCAAUGGAAUGGCAGUUGUGGCCUCCAGUGUCUUCUGGAUGAAUUUAAUAAUCCUGCAUAAUGAUGGAAUAGCAAAAGAACUUAAGCUCAAAAAGAAUUCUCAUCAAAAUUGAAGUUUCCAAAUGAAAUAUUAUUUCAAAGGAAAAACAGUCAGAAAUUUAUAAAAUUAUCUGUUGAAUUUAAGAAGUUUUUCUUAUGAUCACAAGAAGCUCAUUAUCAUUAAAAUGUCAGUUAUUUCAAUAGCUAAUUAAAUUGCACUACUGAAACAAAAUUUAGCAAAAUUUAUGAAACACAUUGUGGAUAUAUACAACCAAAAUAAUUGAGUGGUCUGGAAAUGAGCAUAACUCACAAACGUAAAAAAAAAACAUAUCAAAAAGUGCCAAACAAAUAUUUUAAUUUUAUUUAUUGGAAUUGUACAAGUGAUGAAACUAUAUGAAAACUGAAAAAAUCGCUUUGCCAUAAUUACUUAUCAAAUCUUCUGUAGGCAUCUGGAUACUGAUAAUCUACUCCAUGUAUGAUAAAACACUCGAUACUAUUAUGAAUAUAGUUGUCUAUCAUGUAUCUAAAUAAAAAAAAAUAAAAAAUUUUUCAAUCAGA
Molecule: long non-coding RNA, 3463 nt
Organism: Octopus bimaculoides (California two-spot octopus)
Lineage: Eukaryota; Metazoa; Mollusca; Cephalopoda; Octopoda; Octopodidae
Source: RefSeq, a predicted model, not a curated record